This is a non-coding RNA of Dryococelus australis, 71 nucleotides long. NCBI's taxonomy places the organism in Eukaryota, Metazoa, Arthropoda, Insecta, Phasmatodea, Phasmatidae. The record is from the annotation of a GenBank genome assembly.
GCGUGGCUAGCUCAGUUGGUAGAGCACAAGACUUAAUCUCGUGGGCAUGGGUUCGAGCUGCAAAUUGGGUG